Molecule: ribosomal RNA, 738 nt
Filed under: Leuconostoc mesenteroides
Lineage: Bacteria; Bacillati; Bacillota; Bacilli; Lactobacillales; Lactobacillaceae
Description: bacterial SSU rRNA
Rfam family: Bacterial small subunit ribosomal RNA
Source: RNAcentral
GUGUGAUUUAGGCUUUCGGAUCCCAAAGUUCGUUGUCGGGAAAAACAGCUUCAAUAGGAAAUGAUUUUAGUUUGUCCCCACCAUACCAAAAAGGCACGGCUAACUACGGGACCCCUCCCGAGGAAAUACUUAUGUCUCGAGCUUUAUCCGGAUUUAUUGGGCGAAAAUUGAGCGCAUACGGUUUAUUAAGUCUGAUGUGAAAGCCCGGAGCUCAACUCCGGAAUGGCAUUGGAAACUGUUUAACUUGACUGCGCUAGACGCAAGUGCAACUCCGUGUGUAGCUUUGGAAUGCCUGGAUAUAUGGAAGAACACCAUUGGCGAAUGCUGCUUACUGGACUGCAACUGACUUUGAGGCUCUAAAGUGUGGGUAGCAAUCAGGAUUAGAUACCCUGGUCUUCUACUCCGUAAAACGAUGAUCACUAGGUGUUAGGAGGUUUGCCGCCUCUUAGUGCCGAAGCUAACGCAUUAAGUGUUCCGCCUGCAGAGUACGACCGCAAGGUUGAUACUCAAAGGAAUUGACGGUGACCCGCACAAGCUGGUGGAGCAUGUGGUUUAUUUCGAAGCACGCGAAGAACCUUACCAGGUCUUGACAUCUUUUGAAUCUUUUAAACAUAGAGUGUUCUCUUCCGAAAACAAAGUGACCGGUGGUGCAUGGUCAUCGUCACCUUCGUGUCCUGAAAUGCUGGGGUUAAGUUCCCGCAACGAGCGCCAACCCUUUUAUUGGUAGUUGCCAGCAUU